GCGGCCCUGAGUCACCGGUUGGAGAUGCGCGACCCCGGCCCGGGCCCGCGCUGCGGAGCCGCCUUUCUGGACUGCGCUCUGAACUGAGCUCUGGAACAGGGUUUAAGUAAAAGAAACGCUGCCGAGAGAUGACCUCCAGGGUCCCUCCAGCUGUGCCAUUUUGGACUUCCAGUUGUCUCCCUUGUCACAGUGCUCUCAGGCAUGGUCCCCUUCUCUUUAAAGCCGCUGAAGCCAGCACUCAGGUACAGAAAGGAGUCCAGAAAAGUUAAGUGAUUGGUCCAAAGACACACAGCUCAUGAUCACAACCAGAACCCAGGUCACCAACCCACUCCUCUGAUCCUCCAACACACUAUUCAACUGAGUUUAGGAAAAAGCAAAAUAUAAAGUCCAUAGACUCUACUGCCAUCACCCCCACCA
This is a non-coding RNA of Kogia breviceps (pygmy sperm whale), 417 nucleotides long. Lineage: Eukaryota; Metazoa; Chordata; Mammalia; Artiodactyla; Physeteridae. The record is from RefSeq and is a predicted model, not a curated record.